GUCCUGGCUCAGGACGAACGCUGGCGGCGUGCCUAACACAUGCAAGUCGAACGGAGUUAAGCUCUUCGGAACUUGACUUAGUGGCGAACGGGUGAGUAACGCGUGAUGAACCUGCCUUUCAGUGGGGGGACAACAGUUGGAAACGACUGCUAAUACCGCAUGACACUUUUGGGAGACAUCUCCUGGAAGUCAAAGCUUUAUGUGCUGAAAGAUGGCCUCGCGUCUGAUUAGCUGGUUGGUGAGG
This 244-nucleotide ribosomal RNA is filed under the name uncultured bacterium. Its description in RNAcentral is "partial 16S ribosomal RNA". It matches the Rfam family "Bacterial small subunit ribosomal RNA", at positions 16 to 257 of the family's 1533-position model. The record is from RNAcentral.